UAAAUAAAGACAUGAAUAAAGUCUUGUAGGCUCAAUAUACCAGCUACCCAAUGACUAAAAAAAAGGACUAGAAUAGCACUACCCCAGAAGAACACUCUAAGCCUACUAAUUGGAUAUAUGAGCAUGAAGAAAGCAUAUGGUUUAAAAUGAGAGGACUGAAAAUAUUGAUGUCAUUUCAACUUA
Juglans microcarpa x Juglans regia is the source of this 183-nucleotide long non-coding RNA. RefSeq lists it as uncharacterized. The transcript has 3 exons. Lineage: Eukaryota; Viridiplantae; Streptophyta; Magnoliopsida; Fagales; Juglandaceae. The record is from RefSeq and is a predicted model, not a curated record.